Molecule: RNA transcript, 3093 nt
Organism: Pseudomyrmex gracilis
Lineage: Eukaryota; Metazoa; Arthropoda; Insecta; Hymenoptera; Formicidae
Exons: 7
Source: RefSeq, a predicted model, not a curated record
GCUGCGGAGAAACAUAGAGACUCGCCCCUUCGACUCGACGCUUCUGUCGCACACCUCAGCGGAAAUCAUUUCGAAUUAUGUUCGCUGAGUCGUUCGACUAUAAACCACGAAACGUUUCGAAACGAUCAGGGUUUUGUUAAAAUUGAUGAGUUAUUUGUUUAAACACGCGCAAAUAUAUCGUCUUUGAUCUUUUAGGUGUUUUUUUUUUUUUUUUUUAGCGUCACUCGUACAUCUCGUCGUGAAUCAUGUACGCGUUGUAGCGAAAUUAAAAAUUAAAAAUAACCGGAGACAGACUCAGACGUACUCGUCGGUCGGUAUGGUUUUUGUCAGAGAGAAAGAGAGAAAAAAGAAACAGAGACUUCUCACUGUAUUGUUCAUAAAACCCAACUACUACACCCACUAUUCGCGUGUCACACGUGUGUCCGCGACUCCGGGUGGAAUCACGCGAAGUGACGUUCGUCGUUGGUGGUAUAAAAAUCGGAGUCGAGCCACACGACGUCGUUUUUCCUCGUCGUGCGGUUUUGCGGAGCCGCGUGGUCUAUAGAGAACACAAGAACGAAAACUUAUUGAUUCUUGUAACAACGCGAGAGCUACGCGAGUCUAGUAUCAUUCAAACUUUCAUCGAUCACUUCUCAAAUCCUCCACGGAGGCGAGAUCGAGGUCUGUAUAAAGUUCGCGAUCGCCUUGGUAACCGGCUGUCAAAACACUACGAGCACGUCGGCGAGAACGUCAUCGCGAAAACGGUUCGCCAUCCAGUCGCUGACGUCUCUGGAUGGAUCAUCUUAUCUUGCGACAGGUAUCAUCGCAACGCUCGAUCUGCGGUGCCGGGGAGCGGAGUCGAGUUAUCCGCGGCUGAGAUGAUCGCCGGCGAGGAAUCCGCUCGGUAUCGUCCGGAAUGUAGAAGCUGACGACGUCGACGAGAGACGCGCGAGAUUCCACCGGGAAGUGACAUCUCCUCGGGUCGCCGAAGCAUGAACGUGGGAAAUCUCUGGUUCGUUUGCCUGUCCGUUCUCGCCUUCCAAAGAGGAUGGGCCAUCGACUGUUUCAAGUGUGUAUCGAUCAAUGGCAACAACAAACCUUGCGACGACCCAUUUCACAACAAUGGGAGUCUUGCUUUCUUGGAGUCGCCCUGCUUGGGGGGUCGGAAGGGCCGGGAUGGUCUCUUCCCAGCGACAGCUUGCAUCAAGAUUGCAGGCGUAUACGAUGAAUCUGGUGUGUCCCUCAUGGUGAGGAGCUGCGCGUUAGAUAGCGGAACCCUAACAACGGACUCGGAAAUUAUCAGGAUGUCCCACUGCGGUGGUUUUUACUUCGACAACAAAUACGUUCGUGGAUGCGUGCAAUCCUGCAGCGAUGCGGACGCGUGCAACGCCGCCGCAUCGUCGAGAGAAAUCGCGGCGCUCGUUGUCUUAAUGUUAACGUCGAUUCUCGCGGCGUUCGCGUAAAAUUAAAAACGAAAUGACACGAAAUAUAAUGACGCGCGUAUAAAACGAGCGUAUAAAAUCUAGCGACGUAAAAACGAGUUCAAUUAUUAAUUAGGAAAUACAAUCACGUGGACGAAAAACCAUCAACGGUGGCCUUGAGAACUUACGUACAACACAACAAAUGUUACAUUCUAUACAUAUAUAUAGCUAAUACAUUAAUAUGUAUUACUAUGUACAAUUAACGAUAAUCUUUCAUUAAACUCAAACGACCACAUAGUAAAAUACUGCCAGAUUACGAUUAAGCUACGUAUAGUAUUUAUCAUUAAAAUAAUAAUAAUACUAAUAAUAAUAAUAAUAAUUCACACACGCGCGCGUUCAUUUAUUCUAUCACUGGCAAUUGUAUCAAUACGCAUGCGACGAUAUGUCCAUUGUAAUUACCGCUUGAUAUCAAUAAAACAUAUCUUGAAAUUGCUAAAUGAACAUAAGUGCGUUUCCUUGUAUCUUUUCUUUGUGUUCUUAUCGCGGGAAACAAUAAUGUAUACAUGAGCAAAUUUCAAGCAAUACAAAAACAUCCAUCGGUUUUUGUUUCACACACACACACACACACGCAAAUUAAUUGUUCUAUUUCUGUUGCAACGCGAGAGUUUAUUUUCAUGUCAAUUUUGCGAGAAAAAAUUAUAUGGCGAAGCGUGAAUUUCUAAGAUCGACCAUGAUGAGUCAACUGUCAAAGGCCAGCAUUCACUUCACGAUCCUCCGGCGAUUCGUCUGCUGGCUCUGGGAAACUAUCGAGCACAUUCUGCUGAUCCUGCUCGACUUCGUGACGAGGCUAAUUGAACUGAUACUCGUGGUGACGAACUUAUUAUUUCAGAUAAUCUGCUUCUUCAGAGAUUUGUGCAUCGACGCGUUGCAGACGUUCGCUAAUAUUUUCCGCGGUAUCGUUAACGUCAUUAGCAGCAUCAGCUGCGAAGAAGUCGAGGACUUUGCCUCCGCCUGUAUCGUCGUGAUUUUAUGCACAGGAGCCGUCAAGAUGUUAACGAACUUUUUAAAAAAGACUUGUCGCACGUGGCGAAGUGCGGGCACUUUAAACCGUUUGUGCGCGUGUCCCGCGUGGAAUAUCGCUGUCACAUGACACGGAAGAUCAGCGGUGCAAAAACCAGAAUCCCCACGCCAAGCUGUUCAACGUGCUUGGGCAACACGUGACUCAGAGUGGCAGUAAUAACAAUACAACGGCGAGGAAUCACGGUCAGGAUACGUGUCCCCCCGCGAAGAAGACAAGCAGAAGAGUAAAGCGGCGAAACAACAGGCGAUAUCGCAAUGUCAGAAAAAAUUGAGAUGUCAUGCGUGCGCGAUUUUCACAUAAAAUAUUUGCGCGGUAGAUAUUUAUGCAACAACAAUUUACGUGCAUUGUUCUCUUUCUCUUCCUUUUCGCAGUAUGUAAUAGGGAACGUAUAACCAAACAUAUAUAUGAUCUUUCUCAUUAUAUAAAACAGUAAUAUAUAAUUUAUACCCUACAUAUGUACAUUGUAUAUAUUAAAAUACAUAAAAAAUGCACAAAAAAAUACGCAACAUUUUACCGUGCUUUAUUUUUGCAUCGAGAUAACAAAGUUGUUAAUUUACUGUUUCGCAGAUAACUUGACACACGCACAUUAAAAAAAAAAUAAAAAAAAAAAAA